This 230-nucleotide microRNA precursor is filed under the name Oryza sativa (Asian cultivated rice). Its description in RNAcentral is "partial microRNA MIR433a-43 precursor". The stretch from base 17 to 216 matches the Rfam family "MIR812 microRNA precursor family". Lineage: Eukaryota; Viridiplantae; Streptophyta; Magnoliopsida; Poales; Poaceae. The record is from RNAcentral.
ACCCCCUCCAUCCCAAAAUAAGUGCAGUUUUGCACUGUUCAUAUGGCAUGUUUGACCAUUUAUCUUAUUUGAAUUUUUUAUUAGUAUUUUUAUUGUUAUUAGAUGAUAAAGCAUAAAUAGUUCUUUGUGUGUGACUAAUUUUUUUAAUUUUUUCAUAUUUUUUUAAUAAGACGAACAAUCAAACGUUGGACACGGAUUUUCAUGGCUGCACUUAUUUUGGGACGGAAGUA